Molecule: small nucleolar RNA, 125 nt
Organism: Cercocebus atys (sooty mangabey)
Lineage: Eukaryota; Metazoa; Chordata; Mammalia; Primates; Cercopithecidae
Source: Ensembl
GCAGACUCACUCUGCACCUGACUGUACUUCCAGGCGGGUGCUUUUUCUGUCUGCCAGAUAAACAUUCCAGAGUGCUGUGGCUGCCUCACUUAUCCAGGGCGAUGCAGCUCCCUGGGGACACAGGU